GGAAUCUUCCACAAUGGGCGAAAGCCUGAUGGAGCAACGCCGCGUGUGUGAUGAAGGGUUUCGGCUCGUAAAGCACUGUUGUAAGAGAAGAAUGACAUUGAGAGUAACUGUUCAAUGUGUGACGGUAUCUUACCAGAAAGGAACGGCUAAAUACGUGUCAG
RNAcentral lists this ribosomal RNA (161 nucleotides) under uncultured bacterium. Its description in RNAcentral is "partial 16S ribosomal RNA". It matches the Rfam family "Bacterial small subunit ribosomal RNA", at positions 358 to 511 of the family's 1533-position model. The record is from RNAcentral.